RNAcentral lists this ribosomal RNA (454 nucleotides) under uncultured Pseudomonas sp. Its description in RNAcentral is "bacterial SSU rRNA". It matches the Rfam family "Bacterial small subunit ribosomal RNA", at positions 930 to 1382 of the family's 1533-position model. The record is from RNAcentral. Lineage: Bacteria; Pseudomonadati; Pseudomonadota; Gammaproteobacteria; Pseudomonadales; Pseudomonadaceae.
CGGUGGAGCAUGUGGUUUAAUUCGAAGCAACGCGAAGAACCUUACCAGGCCUUGACAUGCAGAGAACUUUCCAGAGAUGGAUUGGUGCCUUCGGGAACUCUGACACAGGUGCUGCAUGGCUGUCGUCAGCUCGUGUCCGUGAGAUGUUGGGUUAAGUCCCGUAACGAGCGCAACCCUUGUCCUUAGUUACCAGCACGUUAUGGUGGGCACUCUAAGGAGACUGCCGGUGACAAACCGGAGGAAGGUGGGGAUGACGUCAAGUCAUCAUGGCCCUUACGGCCUGGGCUACACACGUGCUACAAUGGUCGGUACAAAGGGUUGCCAAGCCGCGAGGUGGAGCUAAUCCCAUAAAACCGAUCGUAGUCCGGAUCGCAGUCUGCAACUCGACUGCGUGAAGUCGGAAUCGCUAGUAAUCGUGAAUCAGAAUGUCACGGUGAAUACGUUCCCGGGCCUU